GUGUUUGCUUCAGCAACACAUAUACUAAAAUUGGAAUGAUACAGAGAAGAGUAAAAUUGCCUCUGUACAUGGAUGAUAUGGAAAUUUGUGAAGUUUUCCAUAUUUCU
Molecule: small nuclear RNA, 107 nt
Organism: Meriones unguiculatus (Mongolian gerbil)
Lineage: Eukaryota; Metazoa; Chordata; Mammalia; Rodentia; Muridae
Source: Ensembl